UUCAUUCACAAAACAAAUAAUUAAAAAAAAAAUGGCUUUCUCAUACCAAUCUAUCUGUUUUGUAUUCUUGUGUUUGGUUGUUCUCUCGAUCCCAAAAGUUGCGGAUGCUGAUGUUACACCGAAUAUCGAUUAUUGGAUAGGUUCUUGCAAGACAACUCAAGAGUGCAUCACAAAAUGCCUUAAGGUAAACUUGCAUCACGGAAGAUGUUAUCAAGUGUCACCCGAUUCCCCUGAAAAAACAUGCGCUUGCUCUUAAGUCUUAAAUAAUAAUGUUAUUAAGAUAUUGAAUUGUGGACAUGUUGUCUUUAAAGUUAUAAUAAUAAUAAUAAUAAUGAUAAUAA
This is a long non-coding RNA of Camelina sativa (false flax), 341 nucleotides long. RefSeq lists it as uncharacterized. The record is from RefSeq and is a predicted model, not a curated record. Lineage: Eukaryota; Viridiplantae; Streptophyta; Magnoliopsida; Brassicales; Brassicaceae.